UUAGCAAUAUACAUCCGAGAUUUAAAACUACUCAUUAGUUAUGCUGAAUUCCAUAUACAACUAUCCUAAUAAGUACUGAAAUUCUAAACAGUUUAAAUUAGAAAUAUACAACAGUCAUCAAACGUGUAAUCUCUUGCUCAAAUUAUAACUCUAAAAAAGAGCCCAAUUGCUUAAGACCAAAUCCUAAAAGGACCUAAACCAAUGGAAUCAUGCCAUGAUCCAACCCCAGAACUGAAAAUCAACACUGACCUCAAUAAAUUUAAACAAAACCAACAAAAUGUUCGACACCUGACUUGGACCCGUACUACAGAACACUCAAGUAUUCUAAAUAUUCAAUCACGAGGACCCUUAGCCAAAUCACAAACCAACAUAAUAGGCUAAGAUCCUAAAACAUAACUUAAAGAUGAAAUACAAAAUCAGCAACAUGUACGAGUAGAAACACAUAAAAAGAAAGCUAAAAUUAAUACAGAGACUAUAUGAACUUUAAAGAACAUGUGAAUAAAGUUCAGUAAAACAUCAUUUAUCACUAUAUCUCCAUAUUUGAUUACAUAUUUCAAACUUGCGCUUCACAUAUCAUUCAAUGGUCCAAGAAGUACCUGGAUAUCAAAAUAGAGCAAAAGGGAGUGAGGAUUUCAACAAUAACAAAGAAAUAGGAGCCAAACAACAAAUCAACAGCAGGACUCAGCUUCUUUGAACCAUCUUUAGACCCAGAAAACCAGAAAUUUCAUGAAAAGCCUUUUAAGUACUCGAAGAAAAAUAAGAAAGCAACUCAAGGCAAACUUAAUGAAAGGAAUGCAGAGAACUUUUGGGUGUUUUUCAGGGUAUCAAUCUCUGAUUUUUUGAGAGAAAGAAGAUCUAUAUAUAUCCUUUUAGGGGUGCCAUGUGCUGCUAAAAAUAGAAUGAAAAUUAUUCCCUCACAAGGCAUCUUUUCUAACAGAAUUGGGAUACAUGACAACUUUUGAUUGGCUCCAGUAUUUGUGCUGGCCAAAAUUGGGCCAGCUGCCCCGGAUUCUAGAAGUUUCCCCUCUAAAAAAAUCUGAUUUCCUAUUCCCAAAUUAACCUCCUAAGUUUCAUCUAUUCAAUUAACAUCCUAAGAGUUUUAAACAGUUUACAAACCUAGGUAAACAGAAAAUAAACAAACUAAUAUCUAACAAACGGAUUAAAAGCAAAAAAAAAACAAUUCAAAGUUGAAAGUUGAGCUUCUGAAAACUGGCAAAUAAACCUAAACCUCUAAAAUGAAACUAAUUCAUAAUAAACUCUAAAUUAAUCAUGAACUAAGCCAAAUAAUAAAUUCUAAAUGAAACUUGCACAAACACUGAAAUAAUUCUGGAAAUCAGAAUGAAUAAAUUGAUGCACUCUAAAACAAAAUUAUUAACUAAACAUGUUCAAAUAACCAACAUAAAUGCAAUUGAAUCUUUAACUACAUCUAAAUUCUUCUAACAUAAACUGAAGUCAGAAAUUACUAUUGUAACUUUAAAGAUAAAAACAAUGACUAAUUUAAACGGGAUACUAAAACAAGGCAAAGCAGAAUUAUUUCAUGAAUUAAGCUAAAAUUGACAUUAGACUUGUGAUGAAAUCCUAACAUGAUAUUGACUAAUCUGAAACCCAAAAUACAAAAGCAAAACUAACAACAAAAAAAACCUAAAAUGCGGUUAAACAGAAUUAAAAUCAUGAAGAAUAAACCAAGAGAAGGAAGAGAAAAAGAACAGAGAAAAACAAAUAGAAAUAAAGCAAAAGAAAACUACCUAUGUUUAAUCUGGAUCCAACAAAGAACAUCUGACCACUUUCUUCAACAAAACGAAAUGAACCUUGACUAACAUUAAUCGAAUGUCUUUAACAAGGAACAAUCGACUAAUGAAAGUUUGUGAUUCACUUCUUAAAGCACCAACUGAAAACCAAAAGGUUAGGGUUCAGAGGAUACUAUAUUUAAAAUUCGAAGAAAAGGGCGAGGUUUUUUGGGAAGUUAAUUGUAGUUUAGGGUUCAACAGGGUGUGAGGAGUGUGGGGUGUGAUUUUGGGAUGAUUUGGAUGAACUAGGGUUUUGGGGUCCGAUUCUUAGAUCUAAAACCGGAGGACUUGGGUGGGAAUUUUGGGGAAACGGCUUGUGGAUUUGGAAAGAGGAAGGGACCGGAGUUACGGGGUGUUAAUUCGAGGGUGUUUGGAGCACCAGAAUCGCCGUGAGGCGAUUUUUGGUGGCGGUUGGCGGCGAAGACGGCGGGGAUUUUGGGGCGACUGUCUCUAGGGUUUGAUUAGGGCAGAUGAGGGUGAGGGUUAGGG
Molecule: long non-coding RNA, 2276 nt
Filed under: Nicotiana tabacum (common tobacco)
Lineage: Eukaryota; Viridiplantae; Streptophyta; Magnoliopsida; Solanales; Solanaceae
Description: long non-coding RNA (NTAB_LNC017222)
Source: RNAcentral